Non-coding RNA from Saccharibacillus sacchari DSM 19268, 367 nucleotides. It matches the Rfam family "transfer-messenger RNA". Rfam says of the family: Bacterial tmRNA, also known as 10Sa RNA or SsrA, is named for its dual tRNA and mRNA-like properties. Its role is to liberate the mRNA from a stalled ribosome. To accomplish this part of the tmRNA is used as a reading frame that ends in a translation stop signal. NCBI's taxonomy places the organism in Bacteria, Bacillati, Bacillota, Bacilli, Caryophanales, Paenibacillaceae. The record is from Rfam.
GGGGGCGUUUAUGGAUUCGACGGGGGUAGUUCGGGCAUGGGUAGCGGGUAGUGGGGACGCGUCCGCUUUACUAACGCUAAAGCCUAUUAAAUGGCAAACAACAAAACAACUACGCUUUCGCAGCCUAAGAAACUGUGAUGCGUGCUCUCGCUCAGCAUCGCCCAUGUGCCGGGAUGAGGGCCCAACCUAUAGUGGGAUACGCCGGCUAGUCUCCGCCUGGGGGUAGACGGAAGAAGACAAUCAGGCUGACCCGAAGGGAAUCCGGUUACGGGGAGUUCCUAGGGUGACAUUAAAUCCGUGACUACACCCGUAGAAGCCUAUGCUGCGUUAUCUUCGGACAGGGGUUCGACUCCCCUCGCCUCCAUAU